Daucus carota subsp. sativus is the source of this 79-nucleotide non-coding RNA. The record is from Rfam. NCBI's taxonomy places the organism in Eukaryota, Viridiplantae, Streptophyta, Magnoliopsida, Apiales, Apiaceae.
AGGAGCCAUGUGAGAUGAAAAUCUUAUGCACGGUUUUGAAUGAGAGAAAGAAGUGAGGAAUCCUCUUUUCGACUCUGAC